This 1413-nucleotide ribosomal RNA is filed under the name Heteronema vittatum. RNAcentral's name for it is "partial small subunit ribosomal RNA". The record is from RNAcentral. Lineage: Eukaryota; Euglenozoa; Anisonemea; Anisonemida; Anisonematidae.
CAAGGACUAAGCCAUGCAUGGAGAAUGGAGUACAUGGCUAACUCUCCGGAGUUCGCCUGCUUAGUUGGUCUGUGAAUGGCUCAUUAAAUUCAGCAAGAACCUACAUCGGUCAUGCAGAGGGGAUGGUAUCCCACUUCCUUCGAAGAGGCAGCCUGCCCAGUGUCAGAUGGAUAACCGCACUAACCGAGUGGCUAAUACAUGUUCGAUGAUGCCCUUCCCAAGGGCUUCCAGUCUUGGUGCAAAUCCUGAGCUCCACUCAGAGGCCUUGGUCUUUGGUGGAAGGGACAUGGGCAGGAGCAGGCUGACACAAAGACCAGUGUCUGAAAAGACAGUGUGGAUUGAUGACUCAAGCCUGUGGCUUCCUGGAGGGUUCUUGAUAGCAGAGUAACUUCGGUUGCUGCAUGAUGGUCUGGCUUUCUGUCCUAUUAGCUGGUGAUUGUGGCCUAUUGGACCACAUUGGCUUUCAUGGGUAACGGAGGAUUAUGGUUCGAUUCCAGAGAGGGAGCCUGAGAAACGGCUGCCACUGCUAAGGCAGGCAGCAGGCGCGCAAAUUGCCCACUUUCGACACAUCAGCAAGAGGCAGCAACGAGACAUGGCAGCAUUGGUAGCCACAAGGCUGCUGGUGCUUGCAAUGGAUGCUACUCAAAUCCGUCACUGAGUAUCAACUGGAGGGAAAGUCUGGUGCCAGCAGCCRCGGUAAUUCCAGCUCCAGUAGUGUAUGCUAAUGUUGUUGCUGUUGAAACACUCGUAGUUGAUCACAAAGAAGGCCAACUCUCUGAGACAGUGCAAGGGCUUGCUCUUCUUGGUAAGUGUCCACUCAGACAGUUCACUGCUGRGCUGGACCUCUCAGGCAUGGCUUUCUCCUCAGUGCUAUGGGACUGGUGGCUCGUCUUGAUGGUUGCAUUGUCUUCAGUGAUGGUGUGAUUGGAAGUUCACUUUCAACUCGAGUGUGCUUGUGCUAUGGACUCUCUCCUGGCACCUUCCCUCCUCUGUGAGAUGCAAAGCUGCCCAUCAAUGGUGACAUGAGCAAAGCAGCUUGUCCAAGGCUAUCGUCUUCUACUUGAAACCAAAUGGCAUGUCUCAGCAUGAUACACCAAGGCUUCAAUCAGCAGGCUUCAUUUCUACUGGACUUCCAAGCUCAAUGAGCAAUGGUGGCUGUCUCUGGGCAGUGGGUUAGCUUCGGCUGACUGACUGGUCUUUGACUCAAGGUCUCUUGAGAAAGCUGGAAGGUCAUUGGGCUCAUUGUACUGCUUGCCGAGAGGUGAAAUUCUUAGACCCAAGAAAGACAGACUGCAGCGAAAGCUAUGAGCAACUCUGCCUUCGUCGAUCAAGAACGAGAGUGUGGGGAUUGAAGAUGAUCUGAUACCGUUGUAAUCCACACUGUAAACGAUGCCGGCUCAGCUAUGGUGGGCA